RNAcentral lists this ribosomal RNA (449 nucleotides) under uncultured bacterium. RNAcentral describes it as "partial 16S ribosomal RNA". It matches the Rfam family "Bacterial small subunit ribosomal RNA", at positions 29 to 523 of the family's 1533-position model. The record is from RNAcentral.
AACGAACGCUGGCGGCAUGCCUAACACAUGCAAGUCGAACGAGAUCUUCGGGUCUAGUGGCGCACGGGUGCGUAACGCGUGGGAAUCUGCCCUUUGGUUCGGAAUAACAGUUGGAAACGACUGCUAAUACCGGAUGAUGACGAAAGUCCAAAGAUUUAUCGCCAGAGGAUGAGCCCGCGUAGGAUUAGCUAGUUGGUGUGGUAAAGGCGCACCAAGGCGACGAUCCUUAGCUGGUCUGAGAGGAUGAUCAGCCACACUGGGACUGAGACACGGCCCAGACUCCUACGGGAGGCAGCAGUGGGGAAUAUUGGACAAUGGGCGAAAGCCUGAUCCAGCAAUGCCGCGUGAGUGAUGAAGGCCUUAGGGUUGUAAAGCUCUUUUACCCGGGAUGAUAAUGACAGUACCGGAAGAAUAAGCUCCGGCUAACCCCGUGCCAGCCGCCGCAGUAA